GAUGAAGAACGCAGCGAAAUGCGAUACGUAAUGUGAAUUGCAGAAUUCAGUGAAUCAUCGAAUCUUUGAACGCACAUUGCGCCCGCCAGUAUUCUGGCGGGCAUGCCUGUUCGAGCGUCAUUUCAACCAUCAAGCCCCCGGGCUUGUGUUGGGGACCUGCGGCUGCCGCAGGCCCUGAAAAGCAGUGGCGGGCUCGCUGUCACACCGAGCGUAGUAGAUUUUAUCUCGCUCUGGGCGUGCUGCGGGUUCCGGCCGUUAAACCACCCUUUUAACCCAAGGUUGACCUCGGAUCAGGUAGGAAGACCCGCUGAACUUAAGCAUAUCAAUAAGCGGAGGA
Molecule: unclassified non-coding RNA, 337 nt
Filed under: soil metagenome
Description: partial contains 5.8S ribosomal RNA, internal transcribed spacer 2, and large subunit ribosomal RNA
Rfam family: 5.8S ribosomal RNA (bases 1-120)
Source: RNAcentral